This 496-nucleotide ribosomal RNA is filed under the name uncultured bacterium. Its description in RNAcentral is "partial 16S ribosomal RNA". It matches the Rfam family "Bacterial small subunit ribosomal RNA", at positions 28 to 507 of the family's 1533-position model. The record is from RNAcentral.
GACGAACGCUGGCGGCGUGCCUAAUACAUGCAAGUCGAGCGAACCAAUGGGAGCUUGCUCCCUGAGGUUAGCGGCGGACGGGUGAGUAACACGUGGGUAACCUGCCUGUAAGAUUGGGAUAACUCCGGGAAACCGGAGCUAAUACCGGAUAAUAUUUUGAACCGCAUGGUUCAAAAUUGAAAGACGGCUUCGGCUGUCACUUACAGAUGGACCCGCGGCGCAUUAGCUAGUUGGUGAGGUAACGGCUCACCAAGGCGACGAUGCGUAGCCGACCUGAGAGGGUGAUCGGCCACACUGGGACUGAGACACGGCCCAGACUCCUACGGGAGGCAGCAGUAGGGAAUCUUCCGCAAUGGACGAAAGUCUGACGGAGCAACGCCGCGUGAACGAUGAAGGCCUUCGGGUCGUAAAGUUCUGUUGUUAGGGAAGAACAAGUACCAGAGUAACUGCUGGUACCUUGACGGUACCUAACCAGAAAGCCACGGCUAACUACGUG